Molecule: ribosomal RNA, 595 nt
Filed under: uncultured Bacteroidota bacterium
Lineage: Bacteria; Pseudomonadati; Bacteroidota
Description: bacterial SSU rRNA
Rfam family: Bacterial small subunit ribosomal RNA
Source: RNAcentral
CAACCUGCCAUCCAGUGGAGGAUAGCCUUUCGAAAGAAAGGAUAAUACUCCAUGACCUCCUCAGAGGACAUCUGACGAGGAGCAGAGAUUUAUCGCUGGGUGAUGGGGAUGCGUCUGAUUAGGCAGUUGGCGGGGUAAAGGCCCACCAAACCGACGAUCAGUAGGGGUUCUGAGAGGAAGGUCCCCCACAUUGGAACUGAGACACGGUCCAAACUCCUACGGGAGGCAGCAGUGAGGAAUAUUGGUCAAUGGACGUAAGUCUGAACCAGCCAAGUAGCGUGCAGGAAGACGGCCCUAUGGGUUGUAAACUGCUUUUAUGCGGGGGUAAAGUGAGUGACGUGUCAUUCAUUGCAAGUACCGCAAGAAUAAGGACCGGCUAAUUCCGUGCCAGCAGCCGCGGUAAUACGGAAGGUCCUGGUGUUAUCCGGAUUUAUUGGGUUUAAAGGGAGCGUAGGCCGUCAGGCAAGCGUGUUGUGAAAUGUCGUGGCUCAACCACGGACUUGCAGCGCGAACUGCCCGACUUGAGUGCGCGGAAAGCAGGCGGAAUUUGUGGUGUAGCGGUGAAAUGCUUAGAUAUCACGAAGAACUCCGAUUG